AGUGAACGCUGGCGGUAUGCCUAACACAUGCAAGUCGAACGGCAACACAGUAAUAGCUUGCUCUUACGGGUGGCGAGUGGCGGGCGGGUGAGGAAUACAUCGUAAUCUACUUUUUCGUAUGGGUUAACGUAGGUAAGCUUACUCUAAUACCGCAUACGACCUACGGUUGAAAGCAGUGGAUCUUCUGACCUUUCGCGAUUGAAUUAGCCGAUGUCGGAUUAGCUAGUUGGCGGGGUAAUGACCCACCAAGUCGACGAUCCGUAGCUUGUGUGAGAGGAUGAUCAGCGACACUGGAAGGGGGCCACGGACAAGACUACUAAGGGAGGCAGCAGUGGGGAAUAUUGGACAGUGGGGGCAAGUCUGAUACAGUGAUCCCGAGUGGGUGACGAAGGCGUUCGGGUUGUAAAGACGUUCUGUUGGGAAAGAAACGCAGUAGGUUAAUACCCAGCUGUUCUGACGGUAACGAAAGAAUAAGCACCGGCUAACUUCGUG
RNAcentral lists this ribosomal RNA (492 nucleotides) under uncultured bacterium. RNAcentral's name for it is "partial 16S ribosomal RNA". It matches the Rfam family "Bacterial small subunit ribosomal RNA", at positions 29 to 507 of the family's 1533-position model. The record is from RNAcentral.